UCCACGUUUUUUGCCAACGGCUUCUGUGC
RNAcentral lists this non-coding RNA (29 nucleotides) under Rattus norvegicus (Norway rat). The record is from RNAcentral. Lineage: Eukaryota; Metazoa; Chordata; Mammalia; Rodentia; Muridae.